GGAUUAGAUACCCUGGUAGUCCACGCUGUAAACGAUGUCGGCUUGGUGUUUGGGGGUGUGAAAGCAUCCUUGAGUACCGUAGCUCACGCGAUAAGCCGACCGCCUGGGGACUACGAGCGCAAGCUUAAAACUCAAAGGAAUUGACGGGGGCCCGCACAAGCAGCGGAGCGUGUGGUUUAAUUCGACAACGCGAAGAACCUUACCCAGGUUUGACAUGUGGCUGCAAGCGCACAGAAAUGUGUGACCUUCGAGGGUGCUACACAGGUGCUGCAUGGCUGUCGUCAGCUCGUGCCG
RNAcentral lists this ribosomal RNA (294 nucleotides) under uncultured bacterium. RNAcentral describes it as "partial 16S ribosomal RNA". It matches the Rfam family "Bacterial small subunit ribosomal RNA", at positions 775 to 1067 of the family's 1533-position model. The record is from RNAcentral.